This 253-nucleotide ribosomal RNA is filed under the name uncultured bacterium. Its description in RNAcentral is "partial 16S ribosomal RNA". It matches the Rfam family "Bacterial small subunit ribosomal RNA", at positions 524 to 776 of the family's 1533-position model. The record is from RNAcentral.
UACGUAGGGAGCAAGCGUUGUCCGGAAUCAUUGGGCGUGAAGCGCGCGUAGGCGGCCCUGUAAGUCCGUUGUGAAAGUCAAAGGCUCAACCUUUGAAAGCCGAUGGAUACUGCAGGGCUAGAGUCCGGAAGAGGCGAGUGGAAUUCCUGGUGUAGCGGUGGAAUGCGCAGAUAUCAGGAGGAACACCAAUGGCGAAGGCAGCUCGCUGGAACGGUACUGACGCUGAGGCGCGAAAGCGUGGGGAGCGAACAGG